This is a long non-coding RNA of Hippoglossus stenolepis (Pacific halibut), 3345 nucleotides long. RefSeq lists it as uncharacterized. The transcript has 2 exons. NCBI's taxonomy places the organism in Eukaryota, Metazoa, Chordata, Actinopteri, Pleuronectiformes, Pleuronectidae. The record is from RefSeq and is a predicted model, not a curated record.
GACACAGUCUGGACUGACACUACAGACAGGAACAUGUAGAAUAAAGCUGUUAAAGCUCCGGUCCAUCUCAACUCCAGAAGAUGUCUGACACCAGCAGCGUCCUCUCUGAGGACAGAAGACAUGUCAGCAGCAUCUGACUCUGUGUGAAAGCUCCUCAGGAUCCUCGCUGCUGUGGACUUUGCUGACAUGGCUCCAUCCCCUGAUCACUACGGUGCAGACUCUGGCUCCCGAUGUGCAAGAUGGCAGCGUUCGCCUCCGGGAUAUUUUGGCUUCAUUUCUGAACAGUGGAAAAAAGUAGAGACACAUCUUUAUAUGCACUCUAUGGAUUACGGUCUCCCAAGUCAUUUUCCAUUAACUUUUCAUAAUGCACUGUAUAUAACAGGCAAAACAUCCACGACAUGUCACUCCUUCACCCCUUAAACAAGAACAGGUGGAUUUAUCACUCAGGACAUUUUCACUUGUUUGAUAAAAAAAUGUUGAAAGGGACAUUUGUGCGUAUUUGCGUGUGUGUGUGUGUGUGUGUGUGUGUGUGUGCAUUUGAGCAAGUUCACAGGUAGUGUAUCCUCUCCAGGCCGGUUGGCAGUCAGGGCUACUGUAAACAUCCUUGACUGGAAGCUGGUGUUAGGUUCUGGGGCUUUCAGUCGGAUGUUUGCAGCAGCCAACUGCUAGUACCAUCGCUACAGUUCACCUGCUGUCGCCAAAUGUGUGGGAAGUCCACUGAAACACAACUGUAAGUGCAGACUGUUGAGUGAUGAGAAGGAUGACAGGAUGAGGAAAGUCACAUUUUUGUUGAUCAGUUAUGAUCACCAACAUCUUUUCAGUAAAAGACACACUUGUUUUACUUUGAAAGUCCACAGCUCAUGUUUUUUUUUUUAUUAAUUCAAUUCAACUUUAUUUGUAUAGCGCCAAAUAAUAAAAUACAUUAUCUCAAGGCACUUUACAUUGAAGGUCAAGACCUUACAUUUUUUAGAGAAACCCAACAGUUCCCACAAUGAGCAGCACUUUGGCGACUGGAGAGAAAAAACUCCCUCAUUAAGAGAGAGAUAAACCAAGUACAGCAUCACGUUUCAGCUCUCACAAGUUGUUUAAAUGAAAACAAUAAGAGUGAUAAAUAUGGAUGUAGAGAUGUUAUUAAUGAUAGCAGCAACAAACUGCAAGUGUAAGUGGAGUCAAUUUUUCUCUGCACUGCAGUUCUCUCUCUGCUAGCUCCCUAUGGCUUCUCCUUCAUAUCUUUCCUUGACUUAGUGACUUAGUGAGUUUUCCAUCGGGGUCAAGGAAUAGUGGUUAGGAAAGGAGAUUAUUUUCAACCAGAGACCAGGUGACUUUCAUUGCCCCAAUAACCAUCUCACUAACUGCGGCCUGAAUAAACUUUCCAAACACUUGCUGCAAGGCUGUUUGUAAAACUCUCUCUUAUCACAGAGAAUGUCUCAAUUCCUAUUAGACAUAAAUAUGUAGUAAUAGGGCCAGUUUCCCUUCACAAAAUAUAUGUGAAGGGAAAGGAGUGUGAGUCCACAGAGAAAUGGCUGCCCGUGAUAGCUGUCUCCAUUCAGUUCCCAGUGGAUGGGAGGGGCCUCAUCCGCUCCUGAGAGACCGAGGACCAGGGGGGUGCGAAGGAAUGGAGGGGGGCUAAUGAAUGGAAAGAGGAGCAGGAUGGGAAGAAGGGUAAAAAACGAGGGAAAAAAGGUGAUGGUAGCUGAAGAAAUGGAACGGAAGUUUGGUCUUGAUUUUUUUUUUUUCCUCCCCCUUCAUCAGUCAGUCGGAGUAGAGGGGAAGUGGGUGUAACGUGCACUACAGGGCCAGAGACGGGGAAGGAAGAAAGGAAGGAAGCAUUCUAAUAUUACCCCCUCCCACCCCCACAUUCAUCAUAUCCAUGAAUGAAAACACGCUGGGCUCCUUACAGUUUCUGUUCAAACAGUCUCAGCGUUCCUUCCUUGGUGCUGGUAAACCCAGGAAAUAGUUCAGUUCACAUAAAGCUCCUCCAUGUGGAAAGAUCCAGUCCAGCCCAGCAGCUUCUGGACGACGCGUCUGUUAUUUGUUUGUGCUGCAGUGUUUAUAUGAAACUAAAUCCCACGGUUAUUCAUUUGAAAAGGAAUAGUCCAGCAGUAACUAGUUUAAAGGGAUAGUUCACCCAAAAAUGAAAAUUCACUCGUUAUCUUCUCACCACUAUGCCGAUGGAGCGGUUGGUGAAGUGUUUGAGUCCACAAAACACUUUUUGAGUUCCAGGGGUUGCAGCCAAAUCUAAUACAAUUCAAGUAACUAGGGACUGAUUCUUCAAAUGUAAAUAAACAACAGGAAAAAAAAAUCCAUUGAGAUCAAACUCAGUUUUUCACGACAGGAUUAACAGUUGUCUAUCUCCAUCAAUUCUGAAAAACGAUUGUCCAGACUUCAUGUCAGCCCUUGACUAUGGAGAUAUUCUAUACUUGUCACGCAGCCCCAUCACACCUCCAGCAGUCAAACCCAGUGUAUCACAGUGAACUACGCUUACGAGAGACUCAGCACCCAUCACUGUCCUCUGUAUCACUGGGUUGGAUGAACUUCAUUACAAACGACAAGACACAGUCAUCUCAUGUUAUUCAUCUACAAAGCUCUGUUGUUAAAACUUCCAAAUGACCGGAGCUCUCUUCUCUCAUUUCAAACCAGUACAUACAGCACAAGACCCAGUAACUCCUGAACUUCAGACACCCCUCAUGUAUGCACCAACGUUGGCAGAACUGGAUUGAGUUACACCUUCUCAAUGGAAUGAUUUACAAACUUCCCUCAAACUGCAGUCUUGUGUUCCCCUCUGAGAUUUUAAAUCUCUACUAUUUGAUGUUUUUUAUGAAUCGUGUGACUGUUUUCAUUAAUUUAUUUGUAUUGUGUUGUUUUGUUGCUCGUGUUCAGUUGUUUGCUGCUGAUUGUGAAUGGGUCUUGUUCUCAGGCCUCUCUUGGAACAGAGAUCUUGAUCUCAAUGUGACUGCUUGAUUAAAUAUAGAUAAAUAAAUAAAUAAAACAGUAUCAAGUUGCCCUGUGACCUCUGAGUUCUAGGUAGUGUAAACAUCCUACACUCUCGGCGUCUGCCCCCUGGUGGCCGGGAGGGGGACUGUUUGCUCCACCUGGCUCAGAAGCUCGACGAGUAGCAGGGGAGGAAAGUUAAAAUAUAAAAAUAUAAAUAUAUUAUAUUCUCUUUAUUCAAAGUCCAGUGCAGAAUAUAACUUACAGCACAUAAACACAGGCUGGUGUGUGCCCUCAGUAUCACAUGCUUUUACUUUAAUUCUCUUUGGCAUUAAAGAGGACAUCAACUGUGGUACAAUGACCUCAUGUAACUUUGCUGUGCAGCCUGUUGGAAUAAAGAGUUAUUAGACUAAA